Molecule: ribosomal RNA, 403 nt
Filed under: uncultured bacterium
Lineage: Bacteria
Description: partial 16S ribosomal RNA
Rfam family: Bacterial small subunit ribosomal RNA
Source: RNAcentral
GACGAACGCUGGCGGCGUGCCUAAUACAUGCAAGUCGAACGCAGUGGGGACGGGUGAGUAACACGUGGGUAACCUCCCAUCAGAGGGGAUAAAACUUGGAAACAGGUGCUAAACCGAUACUGAUGGAUGGACCCGCGGUGCAUUAGCUAGAUGUUGAGGUAACGGCUCACCAAGGCCACGAUGCAUAGCCUAACUGAGAGGGUGAUCGGACACACGGGGACUGAGACACGGCCCCGACUCCUACGGUAGGCAGCAGUAGGGAAUCUUCGGCAAUGGACGGAAGUCUGACCGAGCAACGCGGCGGGAGUGAAGAAGGGUUUCGGAUCGUAAAGCUCUGUUGUUAGAGAAGCGGUAACUAACCAGAAAGGGACGGCUAACUACGUGCCAGCCGCCGCGGUAAUUC